Molecule: ribosomal RNA, 492 nt
Filed under: uncultured bacterium
Lineage: Bacteria
Description: partial 16S ribosomal RNA
Rfam family: Bacterial small subunit ribosomal RNA
Source: RNAcentral
ACGCUGGCGGCGUGCCUAAUACAUGCAAGUCGAGCGAACAGACGAGGAGCUUGCUCCUCUGACGUUAGCGGCGGACGGGUGAGUAACACGUGGAUAACCUACCUAUAAGACUGGGAUAACUUCGGGAAACCGGAGCUAAUACCGGAUAAUAUAUUGAACCGCAUGGUUCAAUAGUGAAAGACGGUUUUGCUGUCACUUAUAGAUGGAUCCGCGCCGCAUUAGCUAGUUGGUAAGGUAACGGCUUACCAAGGCAACGAUGCGUAGCCGACCUGAGAGGGUGAUCGGCCACACUGGAACUGAGACACGGUCCAGACUCCUACGGGAGGCAGCAGUAGGGAAUCUUCCGCAAUGGGCGGAAGCCUGACGGAGCAACGCCGCGUGAGUGAUGAAGGUCUUCGGAUCGUAAAACUCUGUUAUUAGGGAAGAACAAAUGUGUAAGUAACUAUGCACGUCUUGACGGUACCUAAUCAGAAAGCCACGGCUAACUACGUG